This 253-nucleotide ribosomal RNA is filed under the name uncultured bacterium. Its description in RNAcentral is "partial 16S ribosomal RNA". It matches the Rfam family "Bacterial small subunit ribosomal RNA", at positions 524 to 776 of the family's 1533-position model. The record is from RNAcentral.
UACAGAGGUCUCAAGCGUUGUUCGGAUUCAUUGGGCGUAAAGAGCGUGUAGGCGGCCAGGUAGGUCUGCUGUGAAAACUCGAGGCUCAACCUCGAGACGUCGGCGGAAACCAUCUGGCUAGAGUCCGGAAGAGGAGAGUGGAAUUCCUGGUGUAGCGGUGAAAUGCGCAGAUAUCAGGAAGAACACCCGUGGCGAAGGCGGCUCUCUGGGACGGUACUGACGCUGAGACGCGAAAGCGUGGGGAGCGAACAGG